Long non-coding RNA from Episyrphus balteatus (marmalade hoverfly), 485 nucleotides. RefSeq lists it as uncharacterized. The transcript has 3 exons. The record is from RefSeq and is a predicted model, not a curated record. NCBI's taxonomy places the organism in Eukaryota, Metazoa, Arthropoda, Insecta, Diptera, Syrphidae.
UUUUUUUUUUUUUUUUUUUUAAUGAAAAAAGUGUGAAUAUUAAAGGUUUAAUUUUGAAAUCAGGAGAUUUUGUUUUUCGAAGUAAAUUUUUUUGCGCGACCGAGAUAGAAGAAUCUCAAAAGAAAUAAUAAAUUCAAGACUUUGGUAUAGUGUGUGUAUAUUUGGACGACAUCAUGGACUUCUGUCGAGGACGAGGUUGCUAGGUUUUCUCUCAAGGAUCAUGCUCCUUCGGUUCAGUGGCAUUGUCAUUUGGAUGCAUAAUGUCAGAGAGAUACGAAAUUCAACACAAACGCUGCUGAAGGAUAAUUAGCACUGAAGUCAAUUAAAGACGUUAGAGAGUAUUUUGUGGGAGUUUGUGUAUAAGAGAAAGAGUGGUUGGCCGAAAUUUUCUUUAAUUUUGUUUUUUUCGUACGGUAAGUGACGUUUGUAUUUAGUUUAUUUAUACUUUUAAAUUAAUAUUUUAAAUUAAAAUCAUUUAAUACACC